AUACGGAGGGAGCGAGCGUUAAUCGGAAUUACUGGGCGUAAAGCGCGCGUAGGCGGCUUUGUAAGUCGGAUGUGAAAGCCCCGGGCUUAACCUGGGAAUGGCAUUCGAUACUGCAUAACUAGAGUAUGGUAGAGGGAAGUGGAAUUUCCGGUGUAGCGGUGAAAUGCGUAGAUAUCGGAAGGAACACCAGUGGCGAAGGCGACUUCCUGGGCCAAUACUGACGCUGAGGUGCGAAAGCGUGGGGAGCAAACAGGAUUAGAAACCCCAGUAGUCC
This 274-nucleotide ribosomal RNA is filed under the name uncultured bacterium. RNAcentral describes it as "partial 16S ribosomal RNA". It matches the Rfam family "Bacterial small subunit ribosomal RNA", at positions 523 to 796 of the family's 1533-position model. The record is from RNAcentral.